GCCGCUUUCUCCGCCGUGUGUGGACGCCACCAAAACGGAGAACUAAGAUUAAAUCGCGUCCUAAGCAUGUAGACGCCUUCGGGAAAUCUUCUCAGGACCCGGGUUCGACUCCCGGCGCCUCCACCA
Molecule: transfer-messenger RNA, 126 nt
Filed under: Lentisphaerota bacterium
Lineage: Bacteria; Pseudomonadati; Lentisphaerota
Description: Lentisphaerae bacterium (anaerobic digester metagenome) partial transfer-messenger RNA
Rfam family: transfer-messenger RNA
About the family: Bacterial tmRNA, also known as 10Sa RNA or SsrA, is named for its dual tRNA and mRNA-like properties. Its role is to liberate the mRNA from a stalled ribosome.
Source: RNAcentral